This 73-nucleotide transfer RNA is filed under the name Stegodyphus mimosarum. It matches the Rfam family "tRNA". From Rfam's summary of the family: Transfer RNA (tRNA) molecules are approximately 80 nucleotides in length. Their secondary structure includes four short double-helical elements and three loops (D, anti-codon, and T loops). Further hydrogen bonds mediate the characteristic L-shaped molecular structure. tRNAs have two regions of fundamental functional importance: the anti-codon, which is responsible for specific mRNA codon recognition, and the 3' end, to which the tRNAs corresponding amino acid is attached (by aminoacyl-tRNA synthetases). tRNAs cope with the degeneracy of the genetic code in two manners: having more than one tRNA (with a specific anti-codon) for a particular amino acid; and 'wobble' base-pairing, i.e. permitting non-standard base-pairing at the 3rd anti-codon position. The record is from Rfam by way of RNAcentral. Lineage: Eukaryota; Metazoa; Arthropoda; Arachnida; Araneae; Eresidae.
GCCUUCGUGGUGGUGUUGUCUGCGUGUUCGACCCGUAACCGAGAGGUCCGUGGUUCGAUUCCCGGCGAAGGCG